RNAcentral lists this ribosomal RNA (275 nucleotides) under uncultured bacterium. Its description in RNAcentral is "partial 16S ribosomal RNA". It matches the Rfam family "Bacterial small subunit ribosomal RNA", at positions 523 to 796 of the family's 1533-position model. The record is from RNAcentral.
ACACGUAGGGCGCAAGCGUUGUCCGGAUUUAUUGGGCGUAAAGGGCUCGUAGGCGGUUUCGUAAGUCGGGUGUGAAAACUCAGGGCUCAACCCUGAGACGCCACUCGAUACUGCGAUGACUUGAGUCCGGUAGGGGAGCAGGGAAUUCCUGGUGUAGCGGUGAAAUGCGCAGAUAUCAGGAGGAACACCAUUAGCGAAGGCGCUGCUCUGGGCCGGUACUGACGCUGAGGAGCGAAAGCAUGGGGAGCAAACAGGAUUAGAAACCCUAGUAGUCC